GAGGCGGGGACGCCGCGCGCCACCAGCGUCUGCCACGAGUGGCGCUUGCCCCGGGCUGCAAGAAAAGUUGCGAGCACAGCCUGGAAGAGGGAGAGCAGGGGGACCUGCCUGAAAGGAGAAGCUCUUGCUCUGCACUGGAAAGACAGGAAAGGGUACCCUUGGGGCAAGACCUCACUCAGGAUCUCUGACCUAACCUGCAGCUCAAGGAGACCAGCUGGCCAGCAAGCCCCAGGAACUUGCCUGUGUCUGUGACCCCCCUCAUCACGGGACUCAUAAGUGUGUGGCACCAUCACUGGCAUUUAUAUGGGCCUGAAGAACAGCCUAUGAAAUUUGAGAGUAAUAGCAAGAAAAGAAAAAUAGACUAUGAUUGAUAGAUGGAAUGGGAGUUUCUUGUAGAGAUGUGGACGGCCAUGUGAAAUAAUACACUACUACUGAAGAACAAAAGUUUGGCACUGACCGCCUGGCUCAAGUAUUCAUUAGCUAUUUGACCUUGUCAAGUAGCUAAUCUUCAGAGUAUUUGCUUUACCUCUGUAAUGUAAAUAAAAAUCCUUCCAUAGGAAUAUUGUAAGAAAUAAAUAGGAUCAUAGCACAGUCCCUGGAAAACCACCAACUUUCAGUAAUAUUAGUUCCUUUCAUAUCUACUCCUUUCUCACUAGAGGGUAGAAAUUCUACAGUUGUUUUCAGAGACCAGAGGCAUAUAAUUUGUGGUAGUUCACAGAUACAUUCUUAUCAUUGUAGACAUAUGGUAACAUUCACAAAGUUGAGAUAUUAUUUUAUCCUUCAAAAUUAUAGAAAACACUUCCUUAUAAGUGUUAAGAAAUAGGACUGCUAUGGUAUUAAAAACUCAGUAUUCAAUUAAGAAACAUAAAGGAUGGAGAAGAAAGAAAAAUAAAUAAAAAGUGAAAUAUGAGAACUGUGGUAGAGAGUCAAUGAAAAGUUGGCUACUGAACAGUAGUAUUCCUGGAGGGAAACCAGAAUAAAUGGAAUGUAAGCUUUAUUCAAGGAUAUCAAUAGUUUCUAAGGAAGGAAACAUUCUUAGAUUGGAAAUGGGUAUGAACUGUAUUGGGAGAGGGGGAAUACAUUUAGGCACAAUGAUCAAAAAGAUACUAUUGCCCUAAAUGAGAUGUCCCUGUCAAAUCCAUCCCCUAGGGCUUGGGACCCUGAAGAGCAGGUGAAAGGAGCGUCCUUUGUGUACAUAGAAUGGCUUCUGGUAUAGUGUUGUUACGAGACGCCUGAGUGUGUCAAUGAGUGGGUCUCUACAUCCACAUGUUUCUUGUGCCUUUUCUUGAGCUUUUUCUUGUGCUAGUUCUGUCCUAUCCUUACUAUAUUACAUUGUAUUAUAUUUUAUUAUUAUCCCUUAGAAGCCUGUUUAUUUUCGAAUGAGAGACAUGG
Molecule: non-coding RNA, 1392 nt
Organism: Myodes glareolus (Bank vole)
Lineage: Eukaryota; Metazoa; Chordata; Mammalia; Rodentia; Cricetidae
Source: RefSeq, a predicted model, not a curated record